RNAcentral lists this transfer RNA (75 nucleotides) under Vairimorpha ceranae. RNAcentral describes it as "Nosema ceranae tRNA-Val". It matches the Rfam family "tRNA". From Rfam's summary of the family: Transfer RNA (tRNA) molecules are approximately 80 nucleotides in length. Lineage: Eukaryota; Fungi; Microsporidia; Nosematidae. RNAcentral also lists the same sequence under 1 other name. The record is from RNAcentral.
UGUGACCUUAGUGUAGUGGUUAUCACGUUUGUCUAACACGCAGAAGGUCCCCAGUUCGAGCCUGGGAGGUCACAU